Molecule: long non-coding RNA, 1156 nt
Filed under: Bos grunniens (domestic yak)
Lineage: Eukaryota; Metazoa; Chordata; Mammalia; Artiodactyla; Bovidae
Description: lncRNA (ENSBGRG00000023123.1)
Source: RNAcentral
UUCGGCUGAAUAAAUGUGAGGAACUAAUUCGCUUUAUACAACAAUUCAUGAAUAGGGCAGCAACCCACCUAGCAGCUAGCAGAGCGCUGUCAGGGGUUGUAUAAAAUGGAAGGUUUCUAUAGGCUGGCGAGUCGGGCAAGGGAGCCAUUAGCAUAAUAAAAGAAAGGAUUGAAGCUAUACCCCAAUAGAAAAGUAUUAACAGUAAAGUUUAAAACUACAUUAAAAACAAUACUUCUGUCCCAGGCCUCCCCAACUCAGCUCUUCUUUUUAAAAAAAAAAAAAAACAAAACAACCUGCUGCCAAACCAAGCCUGUUCCACAACAGCCAAGGAGCAGAUUGCAGAUGAAAUGGAAGCUGAGGCAGGGGCAAUGGAUGUAGGUUAGUGUUCUUAAUCCUGGGAGCAGAAGGCAAGAAAAAAUUCUUGAAGAAAGUAGAAAAGUUUAGGAGCUCCAGAAAAAAAAAUGCAGCCCCUCCCUAGUAAUCAGAGAAAGGCAAAUAACAUUUCCCCCCUCUGGGAUAGGCGAAAAGAUGGACAGGGCAAAAUGUGCAAGAGGAGGGAGCAGAGGACUAGCCCACAUCUGCCGCGCUUUUGUUGGGAGUGGAAAUUGAGGACCAGAGAUCACUGAUGACGUAGACCUCAUGUGACCAGGAGUCGACGUGUGCAGAAGUCCUGCUAGUCUGGUCCUUGUUCCCUUCUGGGUACCAGCUUCCUUCAGCAGCGGUAGCCGGUGGGGCCAACGGUGGGGAAGGAGAAGGAGUCUACUGGCUGAAAUUUUUCAGGUCUGCUACUCUGAAAAGGCCAGGAAGAAAAGUGAUCGGAUCCGUACAGGAAGAUGAAGGAAAUAUUAUAAAGACCCCUGGGGUGGAGGUGAGCAAAGGAGGGACUGAGGUCAUGGGCCCCUAUGUUCUUCCCCCGCACCCCUCUUCUCCCAGCUUACUCUGUUCUAGGAGGGUCUUGCGUUCUGCCUUGUGUGAGAGAAAUGGUUGAGAAGAACCUUGGAAAAGGCUGGAGGGAGGGACGAGGGAGGUGAGGAGGUGGAAAAUGGAGGUGAGAACGACAGGCUCAGGGGAAACCCUGAUGGCUGACGUAUCCUUCUUGCUUCCUAGAAGUAGUUGUUUUCAAAGAAAAAUAAGUAGAAGAAAAGAAAGGAAGAGG